This 425-nucleotide unclassified non-coding RNA is filed under the name soil metagenome. RNAcentral describes it as "partial contains 5.8S ribosomal RNA, internal transcribed spacer 2, and large subunit ribosomal RNA". The stretch from base 1 to 120 matches the Rfam family "5.8S ribosomal RNA", at positions 35 to 154 of the family's 154-position model. The record is from RNAcentral.
GAUGAAGAACGUAGCGAAAUGCGAUAAGUAGUGUGAAUUGCAGAAUUCCGUGAAUCAUCGAAUCUUGGAACGCACAUUGCGCCUUCUGGUAUUCCGGAAGGCAUGCCUGUUCGAGAGUCAUUAACAACCGUUUCGAUCCCUUUCUUUCAGAAAUUACAAAGAGGAAAAGGGUUUGGUUAUGGUGGAGGAGGGAAAGGGAGCGUUUAGCCUGUAAAAAAAGAGGCUGUGUUCCGCCUCCCCCCCAAAAUUGUACAGGCGGUCGUGUGCGCCCACGCAUCGAGGUGUUGUAAAAGCUGCCACGGCACUUUUCACCUGUGCAGUGCGAGAUUGGCCAGCCGGUUUAAAAACCCCUCCAAACAAUCCAAGGUUGACCUCGGAUCAGGUAGGGAUACCCGCUGAACUUAAGCAUAUCAAUAAGCGGAGGA